Molecule: ribosomal RNA, 591 nt
Filed under: Colletotrichum fructicola
Lineage: Eukaryota; Fungi; Ascomycota; Sordariomycetes; Glomerellales; Glomerellaceae
Description: eukaryotic LSU rRNA
Rfam family: 5.8S ribosomal RNA (bases 228-381)
Source: RNAcentral
GGAAGGAAAAAAGCGUAACAAGGUCUCCGUUGGUGAACCAGCGGAGGGAUCAUUACUGAGUUUACGCUCUAUAACCCUUUGUGAACAUACCUAUAACUGUUGCUUCGGCGGGUAGGGUCUCCGCGACCCUCCCGGCCUCCCGCCUCCGGGCGGGUCGGCGCCCGCCGGAGGAUAACCAAACUCUGAUUUAACGACGUUUCUUCUGAGUGGUACAAGCAAAUAAUCAAAACUUUUAACAACGGAUCUCUUGGUUCUGGCAUCGAUGAAGAACGCAGCGAAAUGCGAUAAGUAAUGUGAAUUGCAGAAUUCAGUGAAUCAUCGAAUCUUUGAACGCACAUUGCGCCCGCCAGCAUUCUGGCGGGCAUGCCUGUUCGAGCGUCAUUUCAACCCUCAAGCUCUGCUUGGUGUUGGGGCCCUACAGCUGAUGUAGGCCCUCAAAGGUAGUGGCGGACCCUCCCGGAGCCUCCUUUGCGUAGUAACUUUACGUCUCGCACUGGGAUCCGGAGGGACUCUUGCCGUAAAACCCCCCAAUUUUCCAAAGGUUGACCUCGGAUCAGGUAGGAAUACCCGCUGAACUUAAGCAUAUCAAUA